GUGCUUGCUCUAGCAGUACAUGUGCUAAAAUUGGAACAAUACACAGAUUAAUUAGCAUGGCGCUGCACAUGGAUGAAAGCAAAUUCAUGAAGCAUUCCAUAUUUUU
Small nuclear RNA from Onychomys torridus (southern grasshopper mouse), 106 nucleotides. Lineage: Eukaryota; Metazoa; Chordata; Mammalia; Rodentia; Cricetidae. The record is from RefSeq and is a predicted model, not a curated record.